This 66-nucleotide transfer RNA is filed under the name Salmo salar (Atlantic salmon). It matches the Rfam family "tRNA", at positions 8 to 63 of the family's 71-position model. From Rfam's summary of the family: Transfer RNA (tRNA) molecules are approximately 80 nucleotides in length. Their secondary structure includes four short double-helical elements and three loops (D, anti-codon, and T loops). The record is from Rfam by way of RNAcentral. RNAcentral also lists the same sequence under 1 other name. Lineage: Eukaryota; Metazoa; Chordata; Actinopteri; Salmoniformes; Salmonidae.
UGGCUCAGUUGGUGUUUGCAAUGAGCAUGGUGUUUGCAAUGCCAGGGUUGUGGGUUCGAUUCCCAC